UACAUGUGGGGCAAGCGUUGUUCGGAAUUACUGGGCAUAAAGGGUGCGUAGGCGGCUUGUUAAGUCACUGGUGAAAGUUUUCGGCCCAACCGGAAAAUUGCCUGUGAUACUGGCGAGCUCGAGUGCGUGAGGGGUGGGGGGAACGAGCAGUGUAGCGGUGAAAUGCGUAGAUAUUGCUCGGAAGGCCGGAGCCGAAGGGGCCCCACUGGUACGCAACUGACGCUGAGGCACGAAAGCGUGGGGAGCAAACGGG
This 253-nucleotide ribosomal RNA is filed under the name uncultured bacterium. RNAcentral describes it as "partial 16S ribosomal RNA". It matches the Rfam family "Bacterial small subunit ribosomal RNA", at positions 524 to 776 of the family's 1533-position model. The record is from RNAcentral.